This is a long non-coding RNA of Homo sapiens (human), 820 nucleotides long. Ensembl annotates it as long intergenic non-protein coding RNA 1206. NCBI's taxonomy places the organism in Eukaryota, Metazoa, Chordata, Mammalia, Primates, Hominidae. The record is from Ensembl.
CCUUAUACUCCUGAGAAUUUGUGGCAGUCCUGGGUUAAACGAUGAAGGCUUCUUAUUCUCAUGCAGCUUCCUGUGUCCCUGUCCUUUGGAAAAUGCUGCCUCCUGGUCUGCUUGUGUGGAGAAAGAAUGAGGAAGACAAGGAAAUUAAGGAAGGACCCCUCAUUAUGGGCCUCAGAGUAUGUCAGCUGGGGUCAGACGGGAACAGGAGUCUGGCUCAACACACAUUUAUUGCACUCCUGUUUCAUGCCAAGAAAUGUACCAAAAUCUGGGACUGUGUAACACAGCAAAGGAAAAGACUCAUCUCCAGGAAGCCCCCUUGUCUAGGAAGAGAAAUUGAAUAUCAGCAUAAGGUGGUGAAAAGCUGUGAAGGAGAUGAGUGCCAGGAGUCCAUGGAGGAAGGAUUCUAGCCUGGACAGGUGAGGAAUGGCUUUCUGGAAGAAGCAGAUGCCCCAGCUGAACUUUAAAAUGCCCAUGUGAAAUGAACUGUCUGUAUCUUCAAUCAGCAAAUGGAGUAGGUGGCCACUGUUUAAUUCUGGAAUGGGGAAGUGUAAAGGUGUGGUGUGUGUGUUUACCCCUACUUAGGGAUUCAAAACAGACAGUAAAGAACAAAAGUCUAGCCCUUUGAGCAUUCUCCAUGGGACAUUUGAGGUCUAGCUGGCCCCAGAGAAAGAGAGACAGAAGCAAGGUCAUAUCCAUUUGAGAAAAUCAAAGUGUCUGCUCCAAUUGAGUCUGGUGUCCUUAUUCCUGGAAUAGCCAUCCCUACUGCUCUGGUGCUGAUUUACCUCCGGCAGUUCAGUGCUUCCUGGAAGGUAGGCUGGGC